UAUCAAUAUAUAUAUAUAUAUGUAUUUUUUGAUAUUUUCUGCCGUACCAACACUUUAACGAAAUCGUAUUAUAGAGUAACGCGACGCCACCCCAUCGCAUUCUGCUCUCUAUCCAGGAUUCUCUUGAUCUGUCGUCGCAACCUUUCGAUAUUCUGUGGGAUCUGUGGGGGAAUUUUAUUGGCAAAAUUUUUGUCUUUCGAUACCAAAUUGUGGGAUCAGAAAAAUCGAAAAACUGCGCGUGCGCCUGUCUAUAAUGUUGAAACGUCAGAUCUGACACUAGAUGUAGUUUCGACCGUUGCUCCAGUAGAGUGAAAGAUAUUUAGAUGAGCGCACAUCAGGAUUGUGGCCGAAAAAAAAUACUAUGAGCGAGCGUGGAUAGGCUCAGGAGUCCAGAAGUGAAGUGAGAAAUGCGAAACAAUCGAUAAACAAAUAUCAUAUAUAACAAUAUUCCAUUUAUUUGGAAUAUAAUAAUAAAAAUAAAAUAGGAAUGUAAGAUGCCAACAAGUAUAACCUGACAUAAAUCGAAGACAAGUAAAGAAUAAAGGUAAUUAAAAUAAUGAAGCUCGAUGAAAAAUUAUCUUUAACGGGAGCUAUAGUGUAGUUUAACACGAGAGAGACCCACGAACAUAUCUAUCUAUGAGACAGAAUCUUUUUUUUCUUCUUCUUUUCUUCUUAAUAUUUUCUUUAGUUCCUUCGCUGAAUAAAACUUGAUAGAUGAAAAAAAAUAUUGAUGAACACAAGCGGACGACAUUCAUCCUACUACGGACAUCAGUCAAAGGAAAAGAAAGCUGAGAGAGAGAAAGUGUUACUCAGCUCUACGCACUGUUAAAAAUUUUCUCUUUCUUUUUUUAUUUCUAUUAUUUUUUUAAAUUCUUCAAUAGUGCCAAACUGAAGAGAAGGUUCAAAUCUUCAUUUGACCAGGGAAAUACAGUUUCUCGCAUGGCAUUGAUACAGAAAACGUCAAAAUAAAAUUACGCUGAUUUACUUUAAUCGGGACUCAUGACCUGGAGUCAUUGGAUCCCUCAAGUUUGUUUCUCUCUCAGAUAUAUUUUAUGAGUUUAUUUGGCAGGUAUAGCAUUCCAUUUGCUCUCUCUCUCUCUCUCGAUCAAAAACGUCGUUCAAAAAUAAGGUUUUCCCGGUUAGUUUCGUUAGCUUUACCAUAUAAAAUGAAGUUAUUACAUUUGAUUGGUACAAUUAAUUUACUUAAAGAAGUUUCUAACAAGGAACUAAAAUUAUGUUUUUUAAGUUUCACAAAUUUUCCAACAAAUUAGAGCUCGGUAAAGAGACUGAUUAUCACAUCACCCGAUUCGUUAGCUCGGCUGUUACUCAUCAUUUUUCCAAUUACAAUCAGUUCGAAUUCGAAAAUGUUAUUAUUAAAAAUAGUAAUUUAAAGCAUAUAAAAAUAUAUUUAAAGCAAAUGAAAGAUAACUAGCGAUUGUAUUGGAGACUCCCGUCUCCAGAUUUACAAGAAAAUUUCAUUCCCGUUUCUCCUGAAUUUAUUAUCAUCAUUAAUUCGGGAUUACCGAUUCUCCAGAAAUUGCUAUAAAUCUCGGGAAUUAAAAAAAAUUCUGCGAAUUUGUAUUCUAAAA
Molecule: long non-coding RNA, 1589 nt
Filed under: Androctonus crassicauda
Lineage: Eukaryota; Metazoa; Arthropoda; Arachnida; Scorpiones; Buthidae
Source: RNAcentral